AGUGAACGCUGGCGGUAGGCCUAACACAUGCAAGUCGAACGGCAGCACAGUAAGAGCUUGCUCUUACGGGUGGCGAGUGGCGGACGGGUGAGGAAUACAUCGGAAUCUACUUUUUCGUGGGGGAUAACGUAGGGAAACUUACGCUAAUACCGCAUACGACCUACGGGUGAAAGCAGGGGAUCUUCGGACCUUGCGCGAUUGAAUGAGCCGAUGCCGGAUUAGCUAGUUGGCGGGGUAAAGGCCCACCAAGGCGACGAUCCGUAGCUGGUCUGAGAGGAUGAUCAGCCACCCUGGAACUGAGACACGGUCCAGACUCCUACGGGCGGCAGCAGUGGGGAAUAUUGGACAAUGGGCGCAAGCCUGAUCCAGCCAUACCGCGUGGGUGAAGAAGGCCUUCGGGUUGUAAAGCCCUUUUGUUGGGAAAGAAAAGCAGCAGGUUAAUACCCCGCUGUUCUGACGGUACCCAAAGAGUAAGCACCGGCUAACUUCGUG
Molecule: ribosomal RNA, 492 nt
Filed under: uncultured bacterium
Lineage: Bacteria
Description: partial 16S ribosomal RNA
Rfam family: Bacterial small subunit ribosomal RNA
Source: RNAcentral